GACGAACGCUGGCGGCGUGCUUAACACAUGCAAGUCGAACGGACAGGCCCUGCUUUUGUUGGGUGCUCGUUUGGCGAACGGGUGAGUAUCACGUGAGUAACCUGUCCUUGACUUUGGGAUAUCUUCAGGAAAAUGGGGCUAAUAUCCGAUAGGAGCUCCUGCUGCAUGGUGGGGGUUGGAAAGUUUCGGCGGUUGGGGAUGGACUCGCGGCUUAUCAGCUUGUUUGUGGGGUAGUGGCUUACCAAGGUUAUGAAGGAUAGCCGGCCUGGGCGGGUUGACGGCGACAUUGGGACUAAGGGACGGACCAGACGCCUACGGUAGGCAGCGGUGGGGAAUAUUGCACAAUGGGCGGAAGCCUGAUGCAGCAACGCCGCGUGCGGGAUGACGGCCUACGGGUGGUAAACCACUUUCGCCGGAGACGAAGCGUGAGUGACGGUAAUGGGUAAAGAAGCAACGGCUAACUACGUG
This 468-nucleotide ribosomal RNA is filed under the name uncultured bacterium. RNAcentral describes it as "partial 16S ribosomal RNA". It matches the Rfam family "Bacterial small subunit ribosomal RNA", at positions 28 to 507 of the family's 1533-position model. The record is from RNAcentral.